RNAcentral lists this ribosomal RNA (253 nucleotides) under uncultured bacterium. RNAcentral describes it as "partial 16S ribosomal RNA". It matches the Rfam family "Bacterial small subunit ribosomal RNA", at positions 524 to 776 of the family's 1533-position model. The record is from RNAcentral.
UACGUAGGGUGCAAGCGUUAAUCGGAAUUACUGGGCGUAAAGCGUGCGCAGGCGGUUGUGCAAGACAGAGGUGAAAUCCCCGAGCUUAACUUGGGAACUGCCUUUGUGACUGCAUGGCUAGAGUGUGUCAGAGGGGGGUAGAAUUCCACGUGUAGCAGUGAAAUGCGUAGAUAUGUGGAGGAAUACCGAUGGCGAAGGCAGCCCCCUGGGAUAACACUGACGCUCAUGCACGAAAGCGUGGGGAGCAAACAGG